GUCUCAUCAGCUUAACUCACCCAUCUUCCUUCAUACUCAAUUAAUUUUGGUUUUCUCUCCAUCUUUAAGAGACCACAGCUUCCCUACGAGGAAGUGGUACCACCGGAGCAGGAAUAAAAUCAGGCACAGCUGCAGUUCCCUCUGGUACAACAGUUGCCCCUGGGAGCUCCAACUCAGGUAAAGCACCAGGCUAGGAGGAACCACUGCUUUGGAAGGGCUCCUCAGUGAGUUGUCUGCCUGGGUGAUCUUACCAUACUCUUCUCAGAUUCUUCAAAUCUUUGUCCUCACUGUUAUUCCUCUUCUCUCAUUUGCAGAAGCUACAACUUCUGUAGGAGAAAAUGGAAAAACAAGUGGCGAAAUAAUCACAGGUACUACUGAGGGCACCUCUGGCAAAGUUCUGGAACCUGGAAGUGCUCACACAGAGGCCACAACUUUCCCAGGAGGCAGCGGGACCACCCGAGCAGAACCACCAGGAGGUACCACUGGAGAAUUGUCUGGAACGACCAUUAUAUCUGGAAGUUCUAACACAGAGGCCACAACUUCCACAAAAGGGACUGGUACUUCUGGAACUGGCUUCAAAACUGUAGCCACAAUUUCUCCUGGAGCAAGUAGAACCACUGGGGCUGGACCUGCUGAAGAAACCACAAUUUCCCUAGGAGGAGGUGGUACCACUGGAGCAGAAAUAAAAUCAGGCACAGCUGGAGUGCCCUCUGUGACAACAGUUGCCCCUGGAAGCUCUAACUCAGAGGCCAUGACUGCUUUAAGAGAAAGUGGAAAAACAAGAGCUGAAAUAACCACAGGUACUACUGAGGGCAAAACUCUGGCAGCUGGAAGUACCCACACAGGUCAGGAAUUCUGA
This 859-nucleotide long non-coding RNA is filed under the name Rhinopithecus bieti (black snub-nosed monkey). RNAcentral's name for it is "lncRNA (ENSRBIG00000045867.1)". The record is from RNAcentral. Lineage: Eukaryota; Metazoa; Chordata; Mammalia; Primates; Cercopithecidae.